Molecule: RNA transcript, 3758 nt
Organism: Suricata suricatta (meerkat)
Lineage: Eukaryota; Metazoa; Chordata; Mammalia; Carnivora; Herpestidae
Gene: ARMC7
Gene name: armadillo repeat containing 7
Exons: 7
Source: RefSeq, a predicted model, not a curated record
CCAAACAGAAACCAAGCUGUGAAGCUGAGGCGUGGCUGUUGCUGUUCCGUCGUCCUCGUCUCCUGCGUCCCAGUUUAGGUUUUCACGCCCAAUUUGUAUAAGGUCCCGAGGCCCCACCUCGCCCCACAUUCCAGCUUCCGCAGAACCUGAGGCCGGGAAAGGAACCUAUUUCCUCCCUCACCACCCUUGCCUGGGCCCUCUCGGCCCCCUGACCAUGGCCCAGAAGCCGAAGGUGGACCCCCACGUCGGGCGCCUGGGAUACCUGCAAGCACUGGUCACGGAGUUCCAAGAGACGGAGAGCCAAGACGCCAAGGAGCAAGUACUGGCCAACCUCGCCAACUUCGCCUACGACCCCAAUAACUACCAGUAUCUGCGGCAGCUGCAGGUCGUUGAUUUAUUCCUCGAUUCGCUGUCGGAGGAGAAUGAAACCCUGGUGGAGUUUGCUAUUGGAGGCCUCUGCAACCUGUGUCCAGACAGGGCCAACAAGGAGCACAUCCUGCAGACAGGGGGCAUCCCCCUCAUCAUCAACUGCCUGUCCAGUCCCAACGAGGAGACCGUGCUGUCUGCGGUCACCACGCUCAUGUACCUGAGCUCGCCAGGCUCCAGCUCGCACCCUGAGCUCACUGCCAUGCCCGUGGUGCAGUGCAUGCUGCGCUUCUCUCUCUCGGCCAACACGAGGCUCCGGAACCUGGCCCAGAUCUUCCUCGAAGACUUCUGUUCGCCAAGCCUGGUGGCAGAAGCCCGCAGCUGGCGGGCUCACUCUGCCCUGGGUAUCCCACUGCCAAGGACUGAGGCCCCGCAGCAGCCCUGAUCCAAGGAGAUCUCGUGGCCAUGGCACCCCGACUGCUAGAGACAAGACCACAAUCCGGGUGGGGGCUCAGGGAGCAGGAGCAGUCUGGCUCCCACUGAGCCUGUUCCCCCCAAAAGGUCCCCUUUAAGGUAUUUUAAAGGCCAGAUGCCUGGAAGGUUGCCAGGAAAAUAGGGCUAACCUCGAAUGGUGUCCUGGUCAUCAAUGAGCAGGUCCCCUGAGACCACCGUCUUGUCCCUCGUCAGGAUAAUGCGCUCCACAAACUGCGGCCCCAGGACGGGCACGGAACGCGCUGGGGACGCCGGGCCGGAGCUCCCUAAGGCCCGAAUCAUGGGGGCUCUGCGCAGUGAAUCAUGGGGUUCACUGUGAAGUGGACGGCUGCUGAAGGCCCUGGCUCGUGAGUCGAGCUCCCAAGAGACGAACUCACAGACCAGAGUGGGGAGCGUCGGCUCCAACAAGCUCAGAACAAAGAGCUUUCCUAUCAUCUGUCUGCGCAGAUCCUCUUCUUCCUCAGAAGUCCUCUGCCGUUACCACCCACCACGGAGAAGCACCUCGAAGGAGAAGAAUUAAAACCUUACCCGUUACCACCCAGCACAGAGGGAUUUAUAGUACAGAAAAAAAGCAACUGAACAGAGAGACCAGUGAAACAAUCUCAAAAAGAUGACACAGGACACAAUGUUCAAAAUUUGUACAUUGUUUACUUUAAGCAACAGUCCGGGAUCGUACAACACACAUGUUAAGGAUAGGACCUCGGUUCAUGGUCAAGCGCCAGCAUCGUGCACACGGCUUCAAGUUAUCGAAGAAGAGCACUGCCCCCCUUGGGGUCUGUGCACGACGAAGACCCACUUCUGCGUGCUCACCGCCCUCGCUCGCUCUCCCGAAUUUGUCGGUCUGAGCGCACAUCGUGGCCUUCUGCGGGAGCAGCAGGCGCGGCUCGUCAGCUAGUUGAGUCAGCAUCUGGCUUAUUAAGGUUCAGACAUUUGAAAGGCAGUUUUUUGCUUUUGUUUUUUGCUUUGCAGGCAGCAAGGCAUGAGGCACGGGCCUCUGCUGUUCCUUAGGGCACUGGAAGAUGCUUUUAGCGAGGGGCACGGACAAGGCGGGGCUACAACGAGGAGGUUUGGCGUAAAGACAGCCCUGUGUUCGGGGGCCGGAAGGAACAUGCCUGUGGACUGCUCACUGGUCUGCCCCGUCGAGGCUUGGUAAACCCGGGUAAAGCUGACGAGAAAAGCGUUUUAAAAACCGCAGUACAAAAGAUCCUCUAACACAUUUGAACCAGGUUAUUCUUAAAAACACCAUACUAAGUGUCACAAAACUUCCCCUCCAAUCUACUACUAGAAAACACUCAUGCCAUGGCCCACAGACCCGGAGGGAUCAGGACAGAUCAAGAGAAACCUGUUCUUUAAAAACCAACCAACCAACAAAAAAAAGACAGCGGUACAUAAAGUGCUUCUUUUUUAAUGAAACAAAUCCAAAAGAUGUACAGUCAGGCUCAAGUUGUGCAGUUCACAAGCAUGGAGAAAACAAACAAAACGACAGAGUUCGAGAGUCGGAGCUAACCCAGGACGAGGCUGGACUUGCCGCCAGGGGGAUUUCUUCGCGAAGGCGCCGGGGCCGGGGCCACUGGGCUGGGCACAGGGGCAGCGGGCACGGGCUUCUCCUCGCUCUGCCCCAGGCUGGCCUGCAAGUCUGUGUCCACAUGUUCUAGAAAAACAGAAGGAGGUUCAGCCUUACUAAGCAACUAUUUCUAGGGAUAAGGUGGGGGUUUUUUUGUUGUUUUGUUAAUUUUUGAGGAUGGUUCAAAUCCUACCUACGGAUAUAGGACAGCAAUCCUUCAAGAACGUUCCCACAACCCAAACUAACUACUGUUAGUGUUUUGCCAUAUUUGUCCCCAGGCCUUUUUUGUGUGCUCAUUUCUACACUGUACAAAUAUAUGAAGAUGGCAGGAUUUUAAGUUAGAGGCCCACAUCCGUGUGGGGCUCUUCUCCUGACUCCCAGAGGGCCUGCUCUGAAUUAUGUUUACUGACUGCUUAUAAGUGCAUUUUAUUCCCAACAGAUAAUGCAUACAUCUGGGUUUUGUUGUUGUAUUUAACAUAAAUGAUUAUCAACUUCCUUUUUUAUACUUGGAAAUUUACCCGUAUUUAUAUACAUGGCUGUAAUUCACCCUACUUAGUUCCUUUAUAGUAUUUUAUCAUGAUUCAGUAUAUUUGAUAUAAUAUAGUACUGCAUUUGCUCUACUAGUAGCGAAACUGGAACCGACCCAACCAUUCCAAACAAAGCUGGGAUGUACAAAGACUGGAAGAGGCGCCCACGGGGAGCCCAGGGCUGCCGUCUUCAAUCUGGACAGACCCCACACGCCGCCCUCCCUCCCCAGCCCCCGCCCCACUACGCUGCCCGCACGCCUUCACGCAUCCAGUAUUCCAUAACCACCUCACUUUAAAAUUUGCCAAACCGAUGGGGGAAAUGUUAUUUCAUUCCUGUUUGAUGUCACAUUCCCAAGAUUACUAGGUGAGCCUGAUGUCCUUCUCUAACCACAAAGCUAACCAGGUGUACCCACAUCAUUUAUCAGUCUACCUUUCCCCUACUGGCUGGCACUGUCUCCCCUGAUCAGGUCACUCCCAUUUAUGUUCACUAGGUCGCUCCAGGUUAGACUUCAGAAUCAGUGUACUCUUACCCAGCAUCCUAGAGCCUGCUUGAUGAUUCACUCAUCUGUGAAAUUUCCAACAAACAUAUAUUCUUUAUGAGGUGGUUUCCACACCUGGAAAAGUCUUUGUUCAAACUCAAAAGUGAUAAUGAAAUGCCAGGUCUCAUUUCAGUGUUAAACCAUCGGAUUCAAUUCAGUUGCAUAAUCUAACACCUGCUUUGGAACAAAAUCUCUUGGGACAUCUGGGUGGCUCAGUUGGUUGGGCAUCCGACUCUGGCCUAGGUCAUGAUCUUGCCGUUCCCAGGUUCA